GGAAAGAUGGCAGAGUGGUCGAUUGCAUCGGUCUUGAAAACCGACGACUGUAACAGGUCCGGGGGUUCGAAUCCCUCUCUUUCCGCCA
Molecule: transfer RNA, 88 nt
Filed under: Bacteroidales bacterium
Lineage: Bacteria; Pseudomonadati; Bacteroidota; Bacteroidia; Bacteroidales
Also listed under: 1 other name
Description: tRNA-Ser
Rfam family: tRNA
About the family: Transfer RNA (tRNA) molecules are approximately 80 nucleotides in length. Their secondary structure includes four short double-helical elements and three loops (D, anti-codon, and T loops).
Source: RNAcentral